Long non-coding RNA from Zingiber officinale, 396 nucleotides. RefSeq lists it as uncharacterized. The transcript is spliced from 3 exons. NCBI's taxonomy places the organism in Eukaryota, Viridiplantae, Streptophyta, Magnoliopsida, Zingiberales, Zingiberaceae. The record is from RefSeq and is a predicted model, not a curated record.
AAACCAGACAGUGGUGAGGGAUCAGUUAUCAGCGGCUGAGGGAAAACGAUUGGCACUAUUGUAGGUACGGCAGAUUUGGUUCCGAUGAUCCCGCUUCGGCGGUGACGCCCUCGGGCCGUAUCCCACCAGCGGUCACUUGAUUGUGAAUUGAGGUAAGGAGUAUGUAACUGGUUUUGGAUGUAGAUCAAAAUAAAUUUGGAUUAUUUGAUUGGUUGAUAUAUGUGUCGAAUUAGGACUAAAUCGGGUAAGAUGCUAUGAUUAACCAUGUUUAUUACAAGUCCUAAUUCGAAUGGAUUAGAAACGAUUGAGGAGUUAAAUGAUUCAAUUAGGGUUUAUAAUUGGAUCUGAGUUUAUAUUAGCUUCUUGAGGAUUUGAUUUAGCUAAUUUAUUUAUAUG